RNAcentral lists this ribosomal RNA (496 nucleotides) under uncultured bacterium. Its description in RNAcentral is "partial 16S ribosomal RNA". It matches the Rfam family "Bacterial small subunit ribosomal RNA", at positions 28 to 506 of the family's 1533-position model. The record is from RNAcentral.
GAUGAACGCUGGCGGCGUGCCUAAUACAUGCAAGUCGAGCGAACAGACGAGGAGCUUGCUCCUCUGACGUUAGCGGCGGACGGGUGAGUAACACGUGGAUAACCUACCUAUAAGACUGGGAUAACUUCGGGAAACCGGAGCUAAUACCGGAUAAUAUAUUGAACCGCAUGGUUCAAUAGUGAAAGACGGUUUUGCUGUCACUUAUAGAUGGAUCCGCGCCGCAUUAGCUAGUUGGUAAGGUAACGGCUUACCAAGGCAACGAUGCGUAGCCGACCUGAGAGGGGGAUCGGCCACCAUGGAACUGGGACGCGGUACAGACUCCUACGGGGGGCAGCAGUAGGGAAUCUUCCGCAAGGGGAGAAAGCCUGGCGGAGCAACGCCGCGUGGGUGAAGGAGGUCUUCGGAUCGUAAAACUCUUUUAUUGGGGAAGAAAAAAUGUGUAAGUAACUAUGCCCGUCUUGGCGGGACCUAAUCAGAAAGCCGCGGCUAACUACGU